Molecule: ribosomal RNA, 253 nt
Filed under: uncultured bacterium
Lineage: Bacteria
Description: partial 16S ribosomal RNA
Rfam family: Bacterial small subunit ribosomal RNA
Source: RNAcentral
UACAGGGGGGGCAAGCGUUGUUCGGAAUUACUGGGCGUAAAGGGCUCGUAGGUGGCCAACUAAGUCAGACGUGAAAUCCCUCAGCUUAACUGGGGAACUGCGUCUGAUACUGGAUGGCUUGAGUUUGGGAGAGGGAUGCGGAAUUCCAGGUGUAGCGGUGAAAUGCGUAGAUAUCUGGAGGAACACCGGUGGCGAAGGCGGCAUCCUGGACCAACACUGACACUGAGGAGCGAAAGCGUGGGGAGCGAACGGG